UACGAAGGGGGCUAGCGUUGUUCGGAAUUACUGGGCGUAAAGGGCGCGUAGGCGGCCUCGUCCGUCCGGCGUGAAAUGCCUGGGCUCAACCCAGGAAUUGCGCUCGAUACAGCGAGGCUAGAGUGUGGGAGAGGUUGGUGGAAUUCCCAGUGUAGAGGUGAAAUUCGUAGAUAUUGGGAAGAACACCGGUGGCGAAGGCGGCUAUCUGGACCGUAACUGACGCUGAGGCGCGAAAGCGUGGGGAGCAAACAGG
RNAcentral lists this ribosomal RNA (253 nucleotides) under uncultured bacterium. Its description in RNAcentral is "partial 16S ribosomal RNA". It matches the Rfam family "Bacterial small subunit ribosomal RNA", at positions 524 to 776 of the family's 1533-position model. The record is from RNAcentral.